This 340-nucleotide long non-coding RNA is filed under the name Nicotiana benthamiana. Its description in RNAcentral is "long non-coding RNA (NBEN_LNC002130)". The record is from RNAcentral. Lineage: Eukaryota; Viridiplantae; Streptophyta; Magnoliopsida; Solanales; Solanaceae.
UAUUAUUUAUUUUUUUGAAUUAUUGCUUUUCGCCGGCGAUUUUUCCGGCGACCCCUGCUCUUUUCUUCAUAUUCUCUCUUCUACUUUUUGUGGGUGUGUUCUGUUUUCUUGGACAUGUACCUUAUUUUUCCGGCGAGGAUUACCAGCAAGCUACAGUACUUCCGGCGACUCCCAUUCGGACUUUUGGCAGGACGCAACAGAACUACACAUUCCGAUAAUCUGCAGGAAAACUUACCCAGGUACUAGUCGCGGUGGCGAGGCCAGUUCGCGGCGUUUGGGAGUGAAGAGCUAAGCAACACCGGCCGAGACGUGCAAGAGUCGGUAGCAGUUGACCUUGGGC